This 1378-nucleotide ribosomal RNA is filed under the name Lactiplantibacillus plantarum. RNAcentral's name for it is "bacterial SSU rRNA". It matches the Rfam family "Bacterial small subunit ribosomal RNA", at positions 70 to 1424 of the family's 1533-position model. The record is from RNAcentral. Lineage: Bacteria; Bacillati; Bacillota; Bacilli; Lactobacillales; Lactobacillaceae.
UGAUUGGUGCUUGCAUCAUGAUUUACAUUUGAGUGAGUGGCGAACUGGUGAGUAACACGUGGGAAACCUGCCCAGAAGCGGGGGAUAACACCUGGAAACAGAUGCUAAUACCGCAUAACAACUUGGACCGCAUGGUCCGAGCUUGAAAGAUGGCUUCGGCUAUCACUUUUGGAUGGUCCCGCGGCGUAUUAGCUAGAUGGUGGGGUAACGGCUCACCAUGGCAAUGAUACGUAGCCGACCUGAGAGGGUAAUCGGCCACAUUGGGACUGAGACACGGCCCAAACUCCUACGGGAGGCAGCAGUAGGGAAUCUUCCACAAUGGACGAAAGUCUGAUGGAGCAACGCCGCGUGAGUGAAGAAGGGUUUCGGCUCGUAAAACUCUGUUGUUAAAGAAGAACAUAUCUGAGAGUAACUGUUCAGGUAUUGACGGUAUUUAACCAGAAAGCCACGGCUAACUACGUGCCAGCAGCCGCGGUAAUACGUAGGUGGCAAGCGUUGUCCGGAUUUAUUGGGCGUAAAGCGAGCGCAGGCGGUUUUUUAAGUCUGAUGUGAAAGCCUUCGGCUCAACCGAAGAAGUGCAUCGGAAACUGGGAAACUUGAGUGCAGAAGAGGACAGUGGAACUCCAUGUGUAGCGGUGAAAUGCGUAGAUAUAUGGAAGAACACCAGUGGCGAAGGCGGCUGUCUGGUCUGUAACUGACGCUGAGGCUCGAAAGUAUGGGUAGCAAACAGGAUUAGAUACCCUGGUAGUCCAUACCGUAAACGAUGAAUGCUAAGUGUUGGAGGGUUUCCGCCCUUCAGUGCUGCAGCUAACGCAUUAAGCAUUCCGCCUGGGGAGUACGGCCGCAAGGCUGAAACUCAAAGGAAUUGACGGGGGCCCGCACAAGCGGUGGAGCAUGUGGUUUAAUUCGAAGCUACGCGAAGAACCUUACCAGGUCUUGACAUACUAUGCAAAUCUAAGAGAUUAGACGUUCCCUUCGGGGACAUGGAUACAGGUGGUGCAUGGUUGUCGUCAGCUCGUGUCGUGAGAUGUUGGGUUAAGUCCCGCAACGAGCGCAACCCUUAUUAUCAGUUGCCAGCAUUAAGUUGGGCACUCUGGUGAGACUGCCGGUGACAAACCGGAGGAAGGUGGGGAUGACGUCAAAUCAUCAUGCCCCUUAUGACCUGGGCUACACACGUGCUACAAUGGAUGGUACAACGAGUUGCGAACUCGCGAGAGUAAGCUAAUCUCUUAAAGCCAUUCUCAGUUCGGAUUGUAGGCUGCAACUCGCCUACAUGAAGUCGGAAUCGCUAGUAAUCGCGGAUCAGCAUGCCGCGGUGAAUACGUUCCCGGGCCUUGUACACACCGCCCGUCACACCAUGAGAGUUUGUAACACCCAA